This 476-nucleotide ribosomal RNA is filed under the name Hyalomma asiaticum. RNAcentral's name for it is "partial large subunit ribosomal RNA". The record is from RNAcentral. Lineage: Eukaryota; Metazoa; Arthropoda; Arachnida; Ixodida; Ixodidae.
AAAAUUUCUGCUCAAAUGAUUUUUUAAAUUGCUGUGGUAUUUUGACUAUACAAAGGUAUUGUAAUAAGAUUUUAAUUGAAUGCUAAAAGAAUGGAAGUUUAAAAAAAUUCUUUUUUAAAAUUAAAAAUUGAAUUUUUUUUAAUUUGUGAAUAAACAAUUAUAAAAAUUAAAGACAAGAAGACCCUAAGAAUUUGAAGAUCAAAUAAAUAAAAAAUUUUUUAUUUAUUUGAUCUUGAUUGGGGCGAUCAAAAAAUAUUAAUAACUUUUUAAAUUAAAAUGAUCUAUUAAUAAUAAACUAAUGAAAUAAAUACUCUAGGGAUAACAGCGUAAUAAUUUUUGAUAGAUCUUAUAGACAAAAUAGUUUGCGACCUCGAUGUUGGAUUAGGAUUCUUAUUUAAUGAAGAUGUUAAAUAAAGAAGUUUGUUCAACUUUUAAAUUCCUACUUGAUCUGAUUCCAGACCGGAAAAAAAAAAAAA